RNAcentral lists this ribosomal RNA (508 nucleotides) under uncultured bacterium. RNAcentral describes it as "partial 16S ribosomal RNA". It matches the Rfam family "Bacterial small subunit ribosomal RNA", at positions 28 to 523 of the family's 1533-position model. The record is from RNAcentral.
GAUGAACGCUAGCUACAGGCUUAACACAUGCAAGUCGAGGGGAAACGAUAUUGGAAGCUCGCUUCCGAUAGGCGUCGACCGGCGCACGGGUGAGUAACGCGUAUCCAACCUGCCCACCACUUGGGGAUAACCUUGCGAAAGUAAGACUAAUACCCAAUGAUAUCUCAAGAAGACAUCUGAAUGAGAUUAAAGAUUUAUAGGUGAUGGAUGGGGAUGCGUCUGAUUAGAUUGUUGGCGGGGUAACGGCCCACGAAGGCGACGAUCAGUAGGGGUUCUGACAGGAAGGUCCCCCACCUUGGAACUGAGACACGGUCCAAACUACUACGGGAGGCAGCAGUGAGGAAUAUUGGUCAAUGGGCGAGAGCCUGAACCAGCCAAGUAGCGUGCAGGAUGACGGCCCUAUGGGUUGUAAACUGCUUUUAUAAGGGAAUAAAGUGAGCCUCGUGAGGCUUUUUGCAUGUACCUUAUGAAUAAGGACCGGCUAAUUCCGUGCCAGCCGCCGCGGUAA